GGUAAAAUCAAUUUUAAAACUUGAGUCUCCAAAUUCCUGUUUUCCUAUCCACAUCUCUAUAUGGGGCUUCUUAUAAUUAUGCAUCUUAAAGGCAGAAAGACAAUAGAAUUUAAAUGUUCAGAGAAUAUUCGAAUGCCAGCUCCUCACUAAAUGGGGGCUUUGUAAAUGGAGAACAAGCGACCAAAACAAAUCUAAACAAGAAAUAAAUGAAUGCGAAAUCCAAUGGAGAAGGCAACCAGCAACAAGCCAUUCAUCUACUGUGAUACAAACAAAACAAAAUUCUAUUUUCAAUCCCCAAUGACGAUUGCCAAUGGAAACAGACACAGAACCCGAAUAAAGAACUUAGUGAGUGCCAGUGAUCUUAAGCAAGUAAUCGGAUACAAACAUGUGAAUAUGUAGGAAUGAAUGUGGACGAGAGGAACGCUAACCGACAGCGUCCAACCAGUGGCUGGCUGGCCGGUUAUAUUGUUGGCCAACAAUUCGUCGCCGCGCUCUAACCAUUGUACUUCGCUCUGUGUAAGGGGUUCUCCUAACAUGGAAAACGUGGUAAACACACCAGUCAACCAACUUCUUGUAUGGGUAGAAAAUAUUCUUGUUGUUGCUGUUGUCCAGAGUUUUUAAAAAUCUUAACUUGAACACUUUGUAUGUUUUUUUUUAUUAUUCUUUGUAAUUUUUUUUUUCUGAAGAUUUGUUCUUUUUUUCCUCUGACGAUUUUUUGCUCAAUUUGUCGUUGGACAGGUUCUACGAGUUUUAUGUAAAUUUUGUUUAAUAGCCAAUAUCAGAGAUACAUCAAUACGAGUAUGUAUCCACGUACAUAUGUCCACAUUAAGGUAUUUAUAAUCGUUGAUUUGUAUGCUUUUAAAUACAUAUGUAUAUACGUAUGUACAUAGUACAUAAACCUUUAUUUGUUGUACAUAUAGAUACCAUAUGUAUUGAACAA
Stomoxys calcitrans (stable fly) is the source of this 940-nucleotide long non-coding RNA. RefSeq lists it as uncharacterized. Lineage: Eukaryota; Metazoa; Arthropoda; Insecta; Diptera; Muscidae. The record is from RefSeq and is a predicted model, not a curated record. The transcript has 2 exons.